Molecule: microRNA precursor, 100 nt
Filed under: Melampsora larici-populina 98AG31
Lineage: Eukaryota; Fungi; Basidiomycota; Pucciniomycetes; Pucciniales; Melampsoraceae
Description: microRNA MIR807
Source: RNAcentral
ACUGUGAUUGACGCUAGUUCAUACAGUUGAUAUGUAAAUUGUAUUCACCCAUAUGUGAAUAUAAUUCACAUAUCAACUGUAUGCUAGCGUCAAUCACAGU